GCGUGGUGUGGUUCAGACACCAUUGCCUGCUGUGCUGUUCCAGUUCAAAUCCUAGGCAUGCUGGAGACAAUUACAGAGGUGAGAGACCCGUUUCCGUGUACCACAAUGGAGGAAGUGGAACUUUUUGAGCAACGGCUCAAAGAUCCCGUCAACAUUCUAAUGAGUGGUGAGUUUUUUUGUUUUAAGAAUCUCACGCAAAGCUGAUUAAAAUCUAUUGUAUGUAAUUAACACUAGACAAUACCAUGUUUGAUGGAAAUGUUUUUUCAAACAUUCUGUAAAGUAUCAAAUAUUAAUCGUACUUUUUCGAUCCAUUUUCGAUUUCCUCCCUGGCAACGAUCGGACGACAUGAUGCCAAACGUGGAACAUCCCCGAAUGAAUGGAAAAAAAUUAUUCAGUCAAAUGACAUCUAAGACUUUGCUCCUGCAUGCCGUCAGAAAGAAUCAUGCCACACAUGCAUCCACUGAUGAACAGAUUCUAAAGCAUGCCAUUAGGUGGUUCAACCUGGCAGCAAACCGGGGUAGCUCCAGGAGGCGUGCUACUGUCGACAUCCCCCACACUGAACAGAAUUAAAAAUAUAUAUUUAUAUUUUAAUAUAAUAUAUAUUUAUAUAUAUAUAUACACAUACACCAGUUCUCAGUUGGAAGUUCCACCAUUCACUUGAGGCCACUGCGACCUAUUCUCUGGGAGAAUUGUGGUAUUUGGGUUAGGUGGUCGGUAUUUAUGGUUGUAUUAGUUGUAGCUCUUGUGUUCUAAUGUGAGCUAUAGUUUUUACUCUAUGUAUGUGUGUAUAUAUUGUCUCGAACUAAUUAUAAAUAAAUAUGAUUCAUACAUGUACAAGAAAUUAUUUGAUGUCCUUUUAAUAAAC
Long non-coding RNA from Pseudoliparis swirei, 865 nucleotides. RefSeq lists it as uncharacterized. NCBI's taxonomy places the organism in Eukaryota, Metazoa, Chordata, Actinopteri, Perciformes, Liparidae. The transcript has 3 exons. The record is from RefSeq and is a predicted model, not a curated record.